CCGGCAGGAUGAUUACAACUAUUGAGGGCGUGGCCAGGUAGGUAAUUAUUGGGUUUUUAAGCAGGCACCUAGAAGGGUACCUAGAGAUGGGGUCCGAUCUUUUCGUGUGGAAGCGCGUUGCCUCGUAGUGGUGUUUGUGCACAGAUAUGGUCUGAAUGAGCAGAUGUAAAUAUUGUGCUGCUUGGUACCGCUUCCGUGUUGGCUUGCGUAUGGACACUGUUUGGGUGAACAGGUGUAAACAUUGUGGCUUUAGCGGCUGCUGGUCACGCCCGUCCUCGUUUGAUCUCGGACAUUGGUUCAUGGCUGUGUUUGAUUCAUGGCUUGAGUUGCAGGUUUAGUUGAUCGCUGUUUCUCCUAUGUUUGUUUGUGUUUUGUUUUUGUUUUCCUCGCUAGCCUGUCCGUGCAUGUGCGCGCUGUAUGCCUCCAUCGCAAUUAUAGUUGAUGAUUGUUGUAUGAACUGGACUGGCUAGUGGGUUUCUCUUUUUUUGCAUUUUUCAUUUUUUUUCUUCUUUUUACUUGUAUCACUUCCCAGCCUCGUGUUGCCAGCCAACCUCUAUAUUCCCUAAAUAAGACUGAUGCUUUAACACACAUGAACCAUUUUUUUUUUUGCAUGUGGUUUAUGCUUGCAGUGUAAUUAUCUGAGUGUUUUUUUGAGUGUUGUAUUUAUUUCAUGAUUUUUUGGGGUUGUUAAUGUGAUUUACUUUACUUUUUCUUUCAAAUUGUUCUGUGUAAAGAAGCUGGCUUGUGUUGGGAUUCGGAGAGGGUUGGCUGGUCAGUAAUAUCUUUUUUUGCGGGGGGAAGGAACUUUUGUCAUAUGUAUUUUGUUGUAUUUAUUGAUUUAUUUGUAUAAA
Long non-coding RNA from Megalobrama amblycephala (Wuchang bream), 851 nucleotides. RefSeq lists it as uncharacterized. The record is from RefSeq and is a predicted model, not a curated record. The transcript has 4 exons. NCBI's taxonomy places the organism in Eukaryota, Metazoa, Chordata, Actinopteri, Cypriniformes, Xenocyprididae.